This 454-nucleotide ribosomal RNA is filed under the name uncultured Synechococcus sp. RNAcentral's name for it is "bacterial SSU rRNA". It matches the Rfam family "Bacterial small subunit ribosomal RNA", at positions 8 to 504 of the family's 1533-position model. The record is from RNAcentral. Lineage: Bacteria; Bacillati; Cyanobacteriota; Cyanophyceae; Synechococcales; Synechococcaceae.
AGGCUUUGAUCGCUGGCUCAGGAUGAACGCUGGCGGCGUGCUUAACACAUGCAAGUCGAACGAACAUUCGGGUUAGUGGCGGACGGGUGAGUAACGCGUGAGAAUCUGCCCUCAGGAGGGGGAUAACGGCUGGAAACGGCCGCUAAUACCCCAUAUGCCGAGAGGUGAAACGAAUUAUCGCCUGAGGAUGAGCUCGCGUCUGAUUAGCUAGUUGGUGGGGUAAAGGCUUACCAAGGCGACGAUCAGUAGCUGGUCUGAGAGGAUGAUCAGCCACACUGGGACUGAGACACGGCCCAGACUCCUACGGGAGGCAGCAGUGGGGAAUUUUCCGCAAUGGGCGAAAGCCUGACGGAGCAACGCCGCGUGAGGGAUGAAGGCCUACUGGGCUGUAAACCUACUUUUCUACAAGGAAGAAGAUCUGACGGUACUUGAGGAAUAAGCCACGGCUAUCCGG